Molecule: long non-coding RNA, 280 nt
Filed under: Setaria viridis
Lineage: Eukaryota; Viridiplantae; Streptophyta; Magnoliopsida; Poales; Poaceae
Description: long non-coding RNA (SVIR_LNC009668)
Source: RNAcentral
UUAUGUUUGGUUUCCACUUUCCACCGAUGUCCACUGUACCUGCAUGCUCGAGUGCUCGACGCUUGCCCGUGCGACAGCCUCUCCAGUCCUCGGCUCACCUUGCAUCUUGCCCCCCACCGCUGCUGCAAUCGUGCGCUCUAGCUGAUGCCGACGACCAAGGACGAAUCCCCGGUUGCUUCGAUGCUCAACCGAUGGCAGCGCGGCUGCGGCUUCCGGCUGCAGGCAUCGUAGCCCCUGGCGCGGCCCGGGCAGAAAGGGAACAAAGCCGCGUCGCGCCCCG